RNAcentral lists this long non-coding RNA (247 nucleotides) under Homo sapiens (human). RNAcentral describes it as "HSALNT0374173". The record is from RNAcentral. Lineage: Eukaryota; Metazoa; Chordata; Mammalia; Primates; Hominidae.
CUGAAGUUAUGAGGAAAUAAAAAUCAAACAUGGGCCUAGACCUUCCCUGAAAGGAAAGAUUUCUGUGACCUUGCAGAAACAAGCCACCAUGAGUUCUACAGCUGCAGAAAAUGAAUUCUGUCACCACAACCUUAGCUUGGAAUGGGACCCCAAGCCUCCAACCAGACCAUAGCCCUGGCCGACACCUUGAACACAGCCUUGUGAAACUCUGAGCAGGGGACCCAACUAAGCCAAGACAAGAUUCCUG